AGGACGAACGCUGGCGGCGUGCUUAACACAUGCAAGUCGAGCGGUAAGGCCUUUCGGGGUACACUAGCGGCGAACGGGUGAGUAACACGUGGGUGAUCUGCCCUGCACUUCGGGAUAAGCCUGGGAAACUGGGUCUAAUACCGGAUAUGACCUCAGGUUGCAUGACUUGGGGUGGAAAGAUUUAUCGGUGCAGGAUGGGCCCGCGGCCUAUCAGCUUGUUGGUGGGGUAAUGGCCUACCAAGGCGACGACGGGUAGCCGACCUGAGAGGGUGUCCGGCCACACUGGGACUGAGACACGGCCCAGACUCCGUACGGGAGGCAGCAGUGGGGAAUA
RNAcentral lists this ribosomal RNA (334 nucleotides) under uncultured soil bacterium. Its description in RNAcentral is "bacterial SSU rRNA". It matches the Rfam family "Bacterial small subunit ribosomal RNA", at positions 26 to 363 of the family's 1533-position model. The record is from RNAcentral.